Molecule: ribosomal RNA, 505 nt
Filed under: uncultured bacterium
Lineage: Bacteria
Description: bacterial SSU rRNA
Rfam family: Bacterial small subunit ribosomal RNA
Source: RNAcentral
AUCCUGGCUCAGGAUGAACGCUAGCUACAGGCUUAACACAUGCAAGUCGAGGGGAAACGAUAUUGGAAGCUUGCUUCUGAUAGGCGUCGACCGGCGCACGGGUGAGUAACGCGUAUACCAACCUGCCCAUCACUUGGGGAUAACCUUGCGAAAGUAAGACUAAUACCCAAUGACGUCUCUAGAAGACAUCUGAAAGAGAUUAAAGAUUUAUCGGUGAUGGAUGGGGAUGCGUCUGAUUAGCUUGUUGGCGGGGUAACGGCCCACCAAGGCGACGAUCAGUAGGGGUUCUGAGAGGAAGGUCCCCCACAUUGGAACUGAGACACGGUCCAAACUCCUACGGGAGGCAGCAGUGAGGAAUAUUGGUCAAUGGACGAGAGUCUGAACCAGCCAAGUAGCGUGCAGGAUGACGGCCCUAUGGGUUGUAAACUGCUUUUAUAAGGGAAUAAAGUGGGAGUCGUGACUCUUUUUGCAUGUACCUUAUGAAUAAGGACCGGCUAAUUCCGUG